UCCCUGGUGGUCCAGUGGCUAAAACUCUGCACUCCCAAUCCAGUGGACCCGGGUUCAAUCCCUGGUCAGGGAA
Molecule: transfer RNA, 73 nt
Organism: Ovis aries (sheep)
Lineage: Eukaryota; Metazoa; Chordata; Mammalia; Artiodactyla; Bovidae
Rfam family: tRNA
About the family: Transfer RNA (tRNA) molecules are approximately 80 nucleotides in length.
Source: Rfam